RNAcentral lists this ribosomal RNA (459 nucleotides) under uncultured bacterium. Its description in RNAcentral is "partial 16S ribosomal RNA". It matches the Rfam family "Bacterial small subunit ribosomal RNA", at positions 338 to 795 of the family's 1533-position model. The record is from RNAcentral.
CCUACGGGAGGCAGCAGUGAGGAAUAUUGGUCAAUGGCCGUAAGGCUGAACCAGCCAAGUAGCGUGAGGGAAGACUGCCCUAUGGGUUGUAAACCUCUUUUAUGCGGGGAUAAAGGUGUCCACGUGUGGAUGUUUGCAGGUACCGCAUGAAUAAGGACCGGCUAAUUCCGUGCCAGCAGCCGCGGUAAUACGGAAGGUCCGGGCGUUAUCCGGAUUUAUUGGGUUUAAAGGGUGCGUAGGCGGAACAUUAAGUCAGCGGUAAAAUCGAGGGGCUCAACCCCUUUAAGCCGUUGAAACUGGUGAUCUUGAGUGGGCGAGAAGUAUGCGGAAUGCGUGGUGUAGCGGUGAAAUGCAUAGAUAUCACGCAGAACUCCGAUUGCGAAGGCAGCAUACCGGCGCCCGACUGACGCUGAGGCACGAAAGCGUGGGGAUCGAACAGGAUUAGAUACCCUUGUAGUC